This 253-nucleotide ribosomal RNA is filed under the name uncultured bacterium. RNAcentral describes it as "partial 16S ribosomal RNA". It matches the Rfam family "Bacterial small subunit ribosomal RNA", at positions 524 to 776 of the family's 1533-position model. The record is from RNAcentral.
UACGGAGGGGGCAAGCGUUAUUCGGAAUCAUGGGGCGUAAAGGGCGCGUAGGCGGCCCCAUAAGUCAGUGGUGAAAGCCUCCAGCUCAACUGGAGAACUGCCAUUGAUACUGACGGGCUUGAGUACAGACGAGGUUGGCGGAAUUGAUUGUGUAGCGGUGAAACGCAUAGAUACAAUCAAGAACUCCGAUUGCGUAGGCAGCUAACUAGGCUGUAACUGACGCUGAGGCACGAAAGCGUGGGGAGCGAACAGG